Long non-coding RNA from Dreissena polymorpha, 898 nucleotides. RefSeq lists it as uncharacterized. The transcript has 3 exons. The record is from RefSeq and is a predicted model, not a curated record. Lineage: Eukaryota; Metazoa; Mollusca; Bivalvia; Myida; Dreissenidae.
UCCAACAAAUCUUAAAUGUAAAUAUUAUUAUGUCCAUAGAUUGAAGUUUCAGGUGGAGAGCAAGAUGAAAAAUAUGCAAAAUUACAUGCAUGCAACCCAUUUAUGCCAUUUUUCUCUUUGUUUGUAGGCCUGACCGUUUGUCCUUGAGCCGUAGAUGGUCAACAAUCCGCUAGCUGUCUUGCUCUGACUGGUGCACUGGACAUGAUUUCAAUAGUCAGCCAGACCAUGAUUGAGCUUAAGGAUUGUGCUGCGGAUGCAGCCUGUGCAGUUCCGGGAGAAAGUCACUGUCUCGGGCAAUGCGGUCUGGUAUCAGGUCUGGAUGAUCCUUGCCUGACUGCGGGUUUGUGUACACCUCAAUCCGACUCUGUGUCCUGAACAGAGGCCGCAGUGGGUGCAGCGCUUGUGGACGAUCCAUCAACAUCCUGAAAGGUCAACACUACACCAAGCUGGGAAAAUUGAUCCUGAUAGUCAUCCCCAGGUAGUGGAAUGAAUGUUCACUGAACUACAGAGGAAUCACAUCCAAAUGACUUUCCUGCCACGACAUUAGUGUGGCCACUCGCGUAGGAAUUCCUUAGCAAACAUGCUCUUUUGCAUGGUGACUGUGGACAUUUUUGCAAAACUUACGCUUUCAACACUGGAUUUUAAAGAGAAUACUUAAUAAAAUGUCGCUAACAGGACUUAUUUAUAUGAGAGAGACUAUCUGGAUGCGCAUUAAGUGUCACUUUGUGUCGUAAGCUGUUGAAGGAGCGAUUUGCGCCUUUUUAAGUGUUAAUUUUGGGUAGCCGGCUUGUAUCAGCUUGAAAGCUGAAAAUUAUGCCUCUCAUCAUAAUAGCAUUAAUUUUUGUAAUUGCAGUGUGUAUGUUUAGAUUGUAAGUGAAGCUUUUAAUAAUAAUUUUCU